GACGAACGCUGGCGGCGUGCUUAACACAUGCAAGUCGAACGGAAAGGCCCUGCUUUUGUGGGGUGCUCGAGUGGCGAACGGGUGAGUAACACGUGAGUAACCUGCCCUUGACUUUGGGAUAACUUCAGGAAACUGGGGCUAAUACCGGAUAGGAGCUCCUGCUGCAUGGUGGGGGUUGGAAAGUUUCGGCGGUUGGGGAUGGACUCGCGGCUUAUCAGCUUGUUGGUGGGGUAGUGGCUUACCAAGGCUUUGACGGGUAGCCGGCCUGAGAGGGUGACCGGCCACAUUGCGCCUGAGAUACGGCCCAGACUCCUACGGGAGGCAGCAGUGGGGAAUAUUGCACAAUGGGCGGAAGCCUGAUGCAGCAACGCCGCGUGCGGGAUGACGGCCUUCGGGUUGUAAACCGCUUUCGCCUGUGACGAAGCGUGAGUGACGGUAAUGGGUAAAGAAGCACCGGCUAACUACGUG
RNAcentral lists this ribosomal RNA (468 nucleotides) under uncultured bacterium. RNAcentral's name for it is "partial 16S ribosomal RNA". It matches the Rfam family "Bacterial small subunit ribosomal RNA", at positions 28 to 507 of the family's 1533-position model. The record is from RNAcentral.